RNAcentral lists this ribosomal RNA (253 nucleotides) under uncultured bacterium. Its description in RNAcentral is "partial 16S ribosomal RNA". It matches the Rfam family "Bacterial small subunit ribosomal RNA", at positions 524 to 776 of the family's 1533-position model. The record is from RNAcentral.
UACGUAGGGUGCAAGCGUUGUCCGGAAUUAUUGGGCGUAAAGAGCUCGUAGACGGUCUGUCGCGUCUGCUGUGAAAACCCAGGGCUCAACCCUGGGCCUGCAUUCGAUACGGGCAGACUAGAGUACGGCAGGGGAGACUGGAAUUCCUGGUGUAGCGGUGAAAUGCGCAGAUAUCAGGAGGAACACCGGUGGCGAAGGCGGGUCUCUGGGCCGUAACUGACGCUGAGGAGCGAAAGCGUGGGGAGCGAACAGG